Otolemur garnettii (small-eared galago) is the source of this 309-nucleotide non-coding RNA. The record is from Rfam. Lineage: Eukaryota; Metazoa; Chordata; Mammalia; Primates; Galagidae.
GCAGGUCGCAGUGGCACCCGCCUGUAAACCCAGCUACUUGGGAAGCUGAGACAUGAGGAUUGCUUGAGUCCAGGAGUUCUGGGGCUGUAGUGCGCUAUGCCAAUCAGGUGUCUGCACUAAAUUCAGCAUCAACAUGGUGACCACCUGGGAGUGGGGGGCGGGAGCGGGGGACACCAAUUUGCCUAAGUAUGAACUGGCCCAGGUUGGAAACAGAGUAGGUCAGAAUGCCCAUGAGGAUCAGUAGUGGGAUAAUGCCUUUGAAUAGCCACUGCACUCCAGCCUGGGCAACAUAGUGAGACUCCGUCUCUA